CCUACGGGAGGCAGCAGUGAGGAAUAUUGGUCAAUGGGCGAGAGCCUGAACCAGCCAAGUCGCGUGAAGGAUGAAGGAUCUAUGGUUUGUAAACUUCUUUUAUAUGGGAAUAAAGUGAGGAACGUGUUCCUUUUUGUAUGUACCAUAUGAAUAAGCAUCGGCUAACUCCGUGCCAGCAGCCGCGGUAAUACGGAGGAUGCGAGCGUUAUCCGGAUUUAUUGGGUUUAAAGGGUGCGUAGGUGGUUAAUUAAGUCAGCGGUGAAAGUUUGUGGCUCAACCAUAAAAUUGCCGUUGAAACUGGUUGUCUUGAUUAUAUUUGAGGUAGGCGGAAUGCGUUGUGUAGCGGUGAAAUGCAUCGAUAUCACGCAGAACUCCGAUUGCGCAGGCAGCUUACUAAACUAUACCUGACACUGACGCACGAAAGCGUGGGGAUCAAACAGGAUUAGAUACCCGGGUAGUC
RNAcentral lists this ribosomal RNA (460 nucleotides) under uncultured bacterium. Its description in RNAcentral is "partial 16S ribosomal RNA". It matches the Rfam family "Bacterial small subunit ribosomal RNA", at positions 338 to 795 of the family's 1533-position model. The record is from RNAcentral.